RNAcentral lists this ribosomal RNA (330 nucleotides) under uncultured Thermoprotei archaeon. RNAcentral describes it as "bacterial SSU rRNA". It matches the Rfam family "Archaeal small subunit ribosomal RNA", at positions 1023 to 1351 of the family's 1478-position model. Lineage: Archaea; Thermoproteati; Thermoproteota; Thermoprotei. The record is from RNAcentral.
ACCGUCGACAGUCAGGUAACGAGCGAGACCCCUGCGUCUAGUUGCUACCAUUACUCUCUGGAGCAGUGGAGCGAAUUAGACGGACCGCCACAGUUAAUGUGGAGGAAGGAAGGGGCCACGGCAGGUCAGUAUGCCCCGAAACCCUAGGGCUACACGCGGGCUGCAAUGGUAUUGACAAUGUGUUCCGAAUCCGAAAGGAGGAGGCAAUCAUCAAACAAUAUCUCAGUUAUGACUGAGGGCUGUAACUCGCCCUCACGAAUAUGGAAUCCCUAGUAACCGCGCGUCACUACCGCGCGGUGAAUACGUCCCUGCUCCUUGCACGAAUUCGCC